UGCAGGAAGAAAGAGUACACCCCUUAGAGAACAUGGGAUCCUGUUACUACCACAGACCGCUGGUCUCAGCACAUUUUAGUUCAGACCCGCAGCGUUCGCAGGCCUUGUUUCAUUAAUACUGAAGAGCUGCUAUGCAGAUAUUUUACUUUGGCUUCAGUAUGAAAUCACUGUGAAUCUACUGGUUAUUUGCAGUACACUGUAUUUCAAAAUGGAAGAUGAGCUUUGUCAAGUGGAAGAUGUAAUUGAGUUUAUCCAAGGUGCCUACUUGGCUGCAAUUUGCUUCAUUUUGGGGGUAGCUGAUGGAGAAGAUGGCAUGAUUAUGCAUGUCUACAAAUCUCAGUACAGAACUGACUGCUUCUGGGAGCCCUUCCUGGAGAUCGCUAACCUCACCCUUCUGGAUUUUUGCUGCUUGCAAUAAAAACAUGAUGGCUCUUGGUAAGCACCCUAGU
Hipposideros armiger (great roundleaf bat) is the source of this 449-nucleotide long non-coding RNA. RefSeq lists it as uncharacterized. The record is from RefSeq and is a predicted model, not a curated record. The transcript has 3 exons. Lineage: Eukaryota; Metazoa; Chordata; Mammalia; Chiroptera; Hipposideridae.